AGCUCCAAUCGCGUAUAUUAAAGUUGUUGCAGUUAAAAAGCUCGUAGUUGGAUCUCGGGUCCAGGCUUGUGGUCCGGCGCUGGCCGGUUACUACUCGUCCUGACCUACCUCCCGGUUUGCCCUUGGUGCUCUUGACUGAGUGUCUCGGGUGGCCGGAACGUUUACUUUGAAAAAAUUAGAGUGUUCAAAGCAGGCUAUUGCUUGAAUACAUGAGCAUGGAAUAAUGGAAUAGGACUUUGGUCCCAUUUUGUUGGUUUCUAGGACCGAAGUAAUGAUUAAGAGGGACAAUUGGGGGCAUCCGUAUUUCGUUGUCAGAGGUGAAAUUCUUGGAUUUACGAAAGACGAACAACUGCGAAAGCACUUGCCAAGAGUGUUU
Molecule: ribosomal RNA, 376 nt
Filed under: uncultured eukaryote
Lineage: Eukaryota
Description: SSU rRNA
Rfam family: Eukaryotic small subunit ribosomal RNA
Source: RNAcentral